CCUACGGGGCGCAGCAGUGGGGAAUAUUGGGCAAUGGGCGCAAGCCUGACCCAGCAACGCCGCGUGAAGGAAGAAGGCUUUUGGGUUGUAAACUUCUUUUCUCAGGGACGAAGCAAGUGACGGUACCUGAGGAAUAAGCCACGGCUAACUACGUGCCAGCAGCCGCGGUAAUACGUAGGUGGCAAGCGUUAUCCGGAUUUACUGGGUGUAAAGGGCGUGUAGGCGGGACUGCAAGUCAGAUGUGAAAACCACGGGCCCAACCUGAGGCCUGCAUUUGAAACUGUAGUUCUUGAGUACUGGAGAGG
This 305-nucleotide ribosomal RNA is filed under the name uncultured bacterium. Its description in RNAcentral is "bacterial SSU rRNA". It matches the Rfam family "Bacterial small subunit ribosomal RNA", at positions 338 to 657 of the family's 1533-position model. The record is from RNAcentral.